GCUGCUGGCUAUUUUUAGCCUAACGCACAAAAACACUGGGUCUUGUGGCGCGGAGCCUGGAGAGUGAAAGUUCGCAUAGUAAAAGCAAACAGCUGAAUUCAUUUUGGAUGUCACAGCAUGUUUGACAUUUUCUCUUAAAUUCUUCUUAUGCUGUUACAUUAGCAUGUGUUUUUCUGUAAACAGAAAACUUAAGAGCUGCGUCUCCGCGUUCUGAAUUACCCGUGCAGGAAGUCUAAGAAAUAGUAUUCUCUUUUUAUCCAAAAACAUGGCAGAUAUGUGUAGUUAUUUCGCAAACAUAGGAAGGUGCUUUUCCCAAAGGAUGUUAGUAGAUUUUCAUCUUGAGCCAUGGAGGUGUUUACAGGAAAUUCAGAUUAUGGGCCUGCUACAAAACCUGGGAAACUUCGAGAAGGAGAAACUGUUCAAGAGCCCACGUACAGACUGAAAAGGGGUUUGUUGUGGCUUCUGUGAGCAAGACUGAUAGAGAUACUGAGGAAUUUAUGAAAAGUUCUUCCAGAGUGGAGAGAGCAAAGACACCUGGGGAGGACACGUUCCUUGCCUUAAGCAAUACAGAAUAAAGUGCUGUAUUUAGGAGAAACCUCUCUCGGGUUCCAGAAGGUGAAUUUCAACAACUAAAAGAAGGCAUUUGAGGGAGAGGUACCCUUUCUGUCCAAUAUCAAUUCAGUACACAUUGGGCUGGGACAGAUUUUAAUCAGCUAUGUAAUAG
Molecule: long non-coding RNA, 724 nt
Filed under: Chinchilla lanigera (long-tailed chinchilla)
Lineage: Eukaryota; Metazoa; Chordata; Mammalia; Rodentia; Chinchillidae
Description: lncRNA (ENSCLAG00000026606.1)
Source: RNAcentral